GGGCCCGCACAAGCGGUGGAGCAUGUGGUUUAAUUCGAUGAUACGCGAGGAACCUUACCAGGGCUUAAAUGUAACGGGACAGAUCUAGAGAUAGAUCCUUCUUCGGACUCAUUACAAGGUGCUGCAUGGUUGUCGUCAGCUCGUGCCGUGAGGUGUCAGGUUAAGUCCUAUAACGAGCGCAACCCCCAUCGUUAGUUGCCAACGAGUAAUGUCGGGAACUCUAACGAAACUGCCGGUGCAAACCGUGAGGAAGGUGGGGAUGACGUCAAAUCAUCACGGCCCUUACGUCCUGGGCUACACACGUGCUACAAUGGUCGGUACAGAGAGCAGCCACUACGCGAGUAGGAGCAAAUCUUCAAAGCCGAUCUCAGUUCGGAUCGGAGUCUGCAACUCGACUCCAUGAAGCUGGAGUUGCUAGUAAUCCCGGAU
RNAcentral lists this ribosomal RNA (429 nucleotides) under uncultured bacterium. Its description in RNAcentral is "bacterial SSU rRNA". It matches the Rfam family "Bacterial small subunit ribosomal RNA", at positions 917 to 1349 of the family's 1533-position model. The record is from RNAcentral.